RNAcentral lists this ribosomal RNA (851 nucleotides) under uncultured fungus. Its description in RNAcentral is "eukaryotic LSU rRNA". The stretch from base 428 to 851 matches the Rfam family "Eukaryotic large subunit ribosomal RNA", at positions 1 to 419 of the family's 3401-position model. The record is from RNAcentral. Lineage: Eukaryota; Fungi.
GACCUUAUCAGAUUCCACCACCUCUGUGAACCGUUGACCUCCGGGUUAAUAAUCAAACAUCAGUGUAACGAACGUAAGAGUAUCUUAACGAAACAAAACUUUCAACAACGGAUCUCUUGGCUCUCGCAUCGAUGAAGAACGCAGCGAAAUGCGAUAAGUAAUGUGAAUUGCAGAAUCCAGUGAAUCAUCGAAUCUUUGAACGCACCUUGCGCCUUUUGGUAUUCCGAAAGGCAUGCCUGUUUCAGUGUCAUGAAAUCUCAAUCUAAUAUGUUUUCUGAACAUGUUAGACUUGGACUUGGGCGUCUGCCAGUGAUGGCUCGCCUCAAAUGACUUAGCGGAACAUCCCACAUCAGUGUUAGACGUAAUAAGUUUCGUCUCUCCUUGUGGUGAUGACUGCUCAGAACCUGCCAUCGCGCACUUUUGACUUUGACCUGAAAUCAGGUAGGGCUACCCGCUGAACUUAAGCAUAUCAAUAAGCGGAGGAAAAGAAACUAACAAGGAUUCCCCUAGUAACGGCGAGUGAACCGGGAAGAGCUCAAAUUUGAAAUCUGGCGUGCUCAGUGCGUCCGAGUUGUAAUCUAUAGAGGCGUUUUCCGUGCCGGACUGUGUCUAAGUCCCUUGGAACAGGGUAUCAAAGAGGGUGAUAAUCCCGUACUUGACACAAUGACCGGUGCUCUGUGAUACGUCUUCUACGAGUCGAGUAGUUUGGGAAUGCAGCUCAAAAUGGGUGGUGAGUUCCAUCUAAAGCUAAAUAUUGGCGAGAGACCGAUAGCGAACAAGUACCGUGAGGGAAAGAUGAAAAGCACUUUGGAAAGAGAGUUAAACAGUACGUGAAAUUGUUGAAAGGGAAA